UACGUAGGGUGCAAGCGUUAAUCGGAAUUACUGGGCGUAAAGCGUGCGCAGGCGGUUUUGUAAGUCUGUCGUGAAAUCCCCGGGCUCAACCUGGGAAUUGCGAUGGAGACUGCAAGGCUAGAAUCUGGCAGAGGGGGGUAGAAUUCCACGUGUAGCAGUGAAAUGCGUAGAGAUGUGGAGGAACACCGAUGGCGAAGGCAGCCCCCUGGGUCAAGAUUGACGCUCAUGCACGAAAGGCGUGGGGACAAACAGGAUUAACGAA
RNAcentral lists this ribosomal RNA (262 nucleotides) under uncultured bacterium. Its description in RNAcentral is "partial 16S ribosomal RNA". It matches the Rfam family "Bacterial small subunit ribosomal RNA", at positions 524 to 785 of the family's 1533-position model. The record is from RNAcentral.